This 565-nucleotide ribosomal RNA is filed under the name Salmonella enterica subsp. enterica serovar Hadar. RNAcentral's name for it is "partial 23S ribosomal RNA". It matches the Rfam family "Bacterial large subunit ribosomal RNA", at positions 1 to 596 of the family's 2925-position model. Lineage: Bacteria; Pseudomonadati; Pseudomonadota; Gammaproteobacteria; Enterobacterales; Enterobacteriaceae. The record is from RNAcentral.
GGGUUGUGAGGUUAAGCGACUAAGCGUACACGGUGGAUGCCCUGGCAGUCAGAGGCGAUGAAGGACGUGCUAAUCUGCGAUAAGCGCCGGUAAGGUGAUAUGAACCGUUAUAACCGGCGAUUUCCGAAUGGGGAAACCCAGUGUGAUUCGUCACACUAUCAUUAACUGAAUCCAUAGGUUAAUGAGGCGAACCGGGGGAACUGAAACAUCUAAGUACCCCGAGGAAAAGAAAUCAACCGAGAUUCCCCCAGUAGCGGCGAGCGAACGGGGAGGAGCCCAGAGCCUGAAUCAGCAUGUGUGUUAGUGGAAGCGUCUGGAAAGGCGCGCGAUACAGGGUGACAGCCCCGUACACAAAAGCGCAUGUGCUGUGAGCUCGAUGAGUAGGGCGGGACACGUGGUAUCCUGUCUGAAUAUGGGGGGACCAUCCUCCAAGGCUAAAUACUCCUGACUGACCGAUAGUGAACCAGUACCGUGAGGGAAAGGCGAAAAGAACCCCGGCGAGGGGAGUGAAAAAGAACCUGAAACCGUGUACGUACAAGCAGUGGGAGCACCCUUUGGGGUGUGA